UCCGGUUCAGUUUAGUCCUA
This 20-nucleotide non-coding RNA is filed under the name Arabidopsis thaliana (thale cress). Lineage: Eukaryota; Viridiplantae; Streptophyta; Magnoliopsida; Brassicales; Brassicaceae. The record is from RNAcentral.